Molecule: ribosomal RNA, 247 nt
Filed under: uncultured Lactobacillus sp.
Lineage: Bacteria; Bacillati; Bacillota; Bacilli; Lactobacillales; Lactobacillaceae
Description: partial 16S ribosomal RNA
Rfam family: Bacterial small subunit ribosomal RNA
Source: RNAcentral
CAUGCCGUAAACGAUGAAUGCUAGGUGUUGGAGGGUUUCCGCCCUUCAGUGCCGCAGCUAACGCAUUAAGCAUUCCGCCUGGGGAGUACGACCGCAAGGUUGAAACUCAAAGGAAUUGACGGGGGCCCGCACAAGCGGUGGAGCAUGUGGUUUAAUUCGAAGCAACGCGAAGAACCUUACCAGGUCUUGACAUCCUAUGCCAAUCUGAGAGAUCAGACGUUCCCUUCGGGGACAUAGUGACAGGUGG